Molecule: ribosomal RNA, 356 nt
Filed under: Aurantiochytrium limacinum
Lineage: Eukaryota; Bigyra; Thraustochytrida; Thraustochytriidae
Description: partial Eukaryotic large subunit ribosomal RNA
Rfam family: Eukaryotic large subunit ribosomal RNA
Source: RNAcentral
CCUGAACUUAAGCAAGGCUACCCGCUGGACUUAAGCAUAUCAUUAAGCGGAGGAAAAGAAACUAACCAGGAUUCCCUUAGUAACGGCGAGUGAAGCGGGAAAAGCUCAAUAUGAAAAUCUAGGCAUUUGCCUCGAAUUGUAGUCUAUAGAAGUUUUACCAGUGUAAAUAUUUGGUCAAAAUCCCUUGGAAUAGGGUAUCACAGAGGGUGAGAAUCCCGUUUGUGGCUGAAUAUUUUAUGCGUACGGUAUGCUUUCAACGAGUCGAGUUGCUUGGGACUGCAGCUCAAAGUAGGAGGUAAAUUCCUUCUAAAGCUAAAUAUUGGCGAGAGACCGAUAGCGAACAAGUACCGUGAGGG